CUCAUUCCAACCCAAACCCUACCCUAAAUCAUUUUUCACUUCCCUCUAUUCACGAUAUCCAUACUCUCUAUCUACCACCGCCAUGAGAAGCAUCGUGAGAAACCCACCAUCGGAAGCUACAGCAGCAGCAUCGUGAGAAGUCACAGAAGCAACGUCCAUAAAGGGGCGACAACAGUGAUGUCGUAUUCGGCAUUGCUGCAGCAAUUGCGAGCGGUGCUGUGCUCAUCCCGUAGUAAUUUUGGGACUUUUUUGUGGAUGGUGUUUGGUGGUGGAUGUCGUUUGGUAGUUGUGUGGUGGUGGCAAUCUGAGCUGUC
RNAcentral lists this long non-coding RNA (314 nucleotides) under Olea europaea (common olive). RNAcentral describes it as "long non-coding RNA (OEUR_LNC009271)". Lineage: Eukaryota; Viridiplantae; Streptophyta; Magnoliopsida; Lamiales; Oleaceae. The record is from RNAcentral.